Molecule: ribosomal RNA, 497 nt
Filed under: uncultured bacterium
Lineage: Bacteria
Description: partial 16S ribosomal RNA
Rfam family: Bacterial small subunit ribosomal RNA
Source: RNAcentral
GAUGAACGCUGGCGGCGUGCCUAAUACAUGCAAGUCGAGCGAACAGACGAGGAGCUUGCUCCUCUGACGUUAGCGGCGGACGGGUGAGUAACACGUCGAUAACCUACCUAUAAGACUGGGAUAACUUCGGGAAACCGGAGCUAAUACCGGAUAAUAUAUUGAACCGCAUGGUUCAAUAGUGAAAGACGGUUUUGCUGUCACUUAUAGAUGGAUCCGCGCCGCAUUAGCUAGUUGGUAAGGUAACGGCUUACCAAGGCAACGAUGCGUAGCCGACCUGAGAGGGUGAUCGGCCACACUGGAACUGAGACACGGUCCAGACUCCUACGGGAGGCAGCAGUAGGGAAUCUUCUGCAAUGGGCGAAAGCUUGACGGAGCAACGCCGCGUGAGUGAUGAAGGUCUUCGGAUCGUAAAACUCUGUUAUUAGGGAAGAACAAAUGUGUAAGUAACUAUGCACGUCUUGACGGUACCUAAUCAGAAAGCCACGGCUAACUACGUG